This 253-nucleotide non-coding RNA is filed under the name uncultured organism. RNAcentral's name for it is "partial 16S ribosomal RNA". It matches the Rfam family "Bacterial small subunit ribosomal RNA", at positions 524 to 776 of the family's 1533-position model. RNAcentral also lists the same sequence under 1 other name. The record is from RNAcentral.
UACGGAGGGUGCAAGCGUUAUCCGGAUUCACUGGGUUUAAAGGGUGCGUAGGCGGGUUUGUAAGUCAGUGGUGAAAUCCUGGAGCUUAACUCCAGAACUGCCAUUGAUACUAUAAGUCUUGAAUAUUGCGGAGGUAAGCGGAAUAUGUCAUGUAGCGGUGAAAUGCUUAGAUAUGACAUAGAACACCCAUUGCGAAGGCAGCUUACUACACAUAUAUUGACGCUGAGGCACGAAAGCGUGGGGAUCAAACAGG